Molecule: long non-coding RNA, 547 nt
Filed under: Helianthus annuus (common sunflower)
Lineage: Eukaryota; Viridiplantae; Streptophyta; Magnoliopsida; Asterales; Asteraceae
Description: sRNA HanXRQr2_Chr13g0570041
Source: RNAcentral
CGAUAAAAUAAUAUAAGAUAAAAUCUAAAUACAAAAUGGUGGCUGCUGAAUAUAAAAAAAGUUCACACAAAUUCACAUUUCUGAUAAUAAUUCGAAAAUCAACGAACAAACAACUGAUCUGGGGAUUAUUCUGACACAAAAACUUGCAGAAUUACAUAGAGAAACUAGUACAGCUAAUCAUUCUUCACCAUAAUAUCCAAAUACAACAUAAUAUUCAUAGAUCAUCGACCAUUGUUGCCACCGUGAGGUCCAGCAUCUACACCACCACCAGCGGCGUUGUUGUUGUUGUUGUUGUUGCUGCUGCUUGCGUUGUUCCUGACGCGACCAAAUGUUAAAAACAAUGGUUUCGGCUGCUAUGUUAACCGCAGAACCGAUAGCACAGGAAACAUCUCCGAACACUUGAGCUUUGAUCUUUCCUCUUUUGAUUGGUGGAGACAUGGCAUUGAGAAUCGGAAUCAGAGCUCGAUUGUGAUAUUGAUUGUGAACUGUGUAGUGAGGUUGUGGUUUAUAGCUUUAAAUAAAUAGGGCCAAGUGGCCGACAUACGUU